AUGGGGUCCGGAUCUUUCCUCAAGGUGCUCGUCAGCAACCUGGACGUUCUCGCCGGGCCCAUAGUUUCACUCGCUUAUCCUCUGUAUGCGUCUGUUCGAGCAAUAGAAACAAAAUCUCCUAUUGAUGAUCAGCAAUGGCUCACUUACUGGGUGCUGUACUCGUUUAUCACUCUGUUUGAGCUCACUUUUGCUGCAGUAAUUGAAUGGCUCCCUUUCUGGUCUUAUGGAAAGCUGUUUUUCAAUUGCUGGUUGGUCUUGCCCUACUUUAACGGUGCUGCGCAUGUUUAUGAGCAUUUUGUGCGGCCAAUGAUUGUGAACCAGCAGGUUGUAAACAUCUGGUAUCUUCCAAAAAAGGAAGGUUCAGACAAACCUGACGAUGUAAUUUCAGCUGCACAGAAAUACAUUGAACAAAAUGGAUCAAAAGCAUUUGAGACUCUCGUUAACAAGUUUAAGACUACAAACGCGAGGCGCUCAAUUUUGGAGGAGGUAGAGGCGGAAAGGAGAGCCAGGGCUGAACGAGAGCUGGCAGCGAGGGAUGUGAAUCCAUUCUUCCACCCGAAUUACUGA
This 567-nucleotide ribosomal RNA is filed under the name Triticum aestivum (bread wheat). RNAcentral describes it as "partial small subunit ribosomal RNA". Lineage: Eukaryota; Viridiplantae; Streptophyta; Magnoliopsida; Poales; Poaceae. The record is from RNAcentral.